This 1489-nucleotide ribosomal RNA is filed under the name uncultured bacterium. RNAcentral's name for it is "bacterial SSU rRNA". It matches the Rfam family "Bacterial small subunit ribosomal RNA". The record is from RNAcentral.
AGAGUUUGAUCCUGGCUCAGGAUGAACGCUAGCUACAGGCUUAACACAUGCAAGUCGAGGGGCAGCAUGGUCUUAGCUUGCUAAGGCCGAUGGCGACCGGCGCACGGGUGAGUAACACGUAUCCAACCUGCCGUCUACUCUUGGACAGCCUUCUGAAAGGAAGAUUAAUACAAGAUGGCAUCAUGAGUCCGCAUGUUCACAUGAUUAAAGGUAUUCCGGUAGACGAUGGGGAUGCGUUCCAUUAGAUAGUAGGCGGGGUAACGGCCCACCUAGUCUUCGAUGGAUAGGGGUUCUGAGAGGAAGGUCCCCCACAUUGGAACUGAGACACGGUCCAAACUCCUACGGGAGGCAGCAGUGAGGAAUAUUGGUCAAUGGGCGAGAGCCUGAACCAGCCAAGUAGCGUGAAGGAUGACUGCCCUAUGGGUUGUAAACUUCUUUUAUAAAGGAAUAAAGUCGGGUAUGGAUACCCGUUUGCAUGUACUUUAUGAAUAAGGAUCGGCUAACUCCGUGCCAGCAGCCGCGGUAAUACGGAGGAUCCGAGCGUUAUCCGGAUUUAUUGGGUUUAAAGGGAGCGUAGAUGGAUGUUUAAGUCAGUUGUGAAAGUUUGCGGCUCAACCGUAAAAUUGCAGUUGAUACUGGAUAUCUUGAGUGCAGUUGAGGCAGGCGGAAUUCGUGGUGUAGCGGUGAAAUGCUUAGAUAUCACGAAGAACUCCGAUUGCGAAGGCAGCCUGCUAAGCUGCAACUGACAUUGAGGCUCGAAAGUGUGGGUAUCAAACAGGAUUAGAUACCCUGGUAGUCCACACGGUAAACGAUGAAUACUCGCUGUUUGCGAUAUACGGCAAGCGGCCAAGCGAAAGCGUUAAGUAUUCCACCUGGGGAGUACGCCGGCAACGGUGAAACUCAAAGGAAUUGACGGGGGCCCGCACAAGCGGAGGAACAUGUGGUUUAAUUCGAUGAUACGCGAGGAACCUUACCCGGGCUUAAAUUGCAGAUGAAUUACGGUGAAAGCCGUAAGCCGCAAGGCAUCUGUGAAGGUGCUGCAUGGUUGUCGUCAGCUCGUGCCGUGAGGUGUCGGCUUAAGUGCCAUAACGAGCGCAACCCUUGUUGUCAGUUACUAACAGGUCAUGCUGAGGACUCUGACAAGACUGCCAUCGUAAGAUGUGAGGAAGGUGGGGAUGACGUCAAAUCAGCACGGCCCUUACGUCCGGGGCUACACACGUGUUACAAUGGGGGGUACAGAGGGCCGCUACCACGCGAGUGGAUGCCAAUCCCAAAAACCUCUCUCAGUUCGGACUGGAGUCUGCAACCCGACUCCACGAAGCUGGAUUCGCUAGUAAUCGCGCAUCAGCCACGGCGCGGUGAAUACGUUCCCGGGCCUUGUACACACCGCCCGUCAAGCCAUGGGAGCCGGGGGUACCUGAAGUGCGUAACCGCGAGGAGCGCCCUAGGGUAAAACUGGUGACUGGGGCUAAGUCGUAACAAGGUAGCC